Molecule: ribosomal RNA, 253 nt
Filed under: uncultured bacterium
Lineage: Bacteria
Description: partial 16S ribosomal RNA
Rfam family: Bacterial small subunit ribosomal RNA
Source: RNAcentral
UACGUAGGGUGCGAGCGUUAAUCGGAAUUACUGGGCGUAAAGCGUGCGCAGGCGGUUUGCUGUGUCUGCGGUGAAAGCCCCGGGCUCAACCUGGGAAUGGCCGUGGAAACUGGCGAGCUGGAGUGUGGCAGAGGGGGGUGGAAUUCCACGUGUAGCAGUGAAAUGCGUAGAGAUGUGGAGGAACACCGAUGGCGAAGGCAGCCCCCUGGGCUGACACUGACGCUCAGGCACGAAAGCGUGGGGAGCAAACAGG